RNAcentral lists this transfer RNA (73 nucleotides) under Pampus punctatissimus. Its description in RNAcentral is "tRNA-Asp". It matches the Rfam family "tRNA". From Rfam's summary of the family: Transfer RNA (tRNA) molecules are approximately 80 nucleotides in length. Their secondary structure includes four short double-helical elements and three loops (D, anti-codon, and T loops). Further hydrogen bonds mediate the characteristic L-shaped molecular structure. tRNAs have two regions of fundamental functional importance: the anti-codon, which is responsible for specific mRNA codon recognition, and the 3' end, to which the tRNAs corresponding amino acid is attached (by aminoacyl-tRNA synthetases). tRNAs cope with the degeneracy of the genetic code in two manners: having more than one tRNA (with a specific anti-codon) for a particular amino acid; and 'wobble' base-pairing, i.e. permitting non-standard base-pairing at the 3rd anti-codon position. RNAcentral also lists the same sequence under 1 other name. Lineage: Eukaryota; Metazoa; Chordata; Actinopteri; Scombriformes; Stromateidae. The record is from RNAcentral.
GAGACAUUAGUAAAAUGUACUAUUACACCACCUUGUCAAGGUGGUAUUGUGGGUUUAAACCCCACAUGUCUUA